This 72-nucleotide transfer RNA is filed under the name Clunio marinus. It matches the Rfam family "tRNA". Rfam says of the family: Transfer RNA (tRNA) molecules are approximately 80 nucleotides in length. Their secondary structure includes four short double-helical elements and three loops (D, anti-codon, and T loops). Lineage: Eukaryota; Metazoa; Arthropoda; Insecta; Diptera; Chironomidae. The record is from Rfam by way of RNAcentral.
GGCUCAGUGGUUUAGGGGUAUAAUGUCCGCUUAGGGUGCGGGAGGUCCCGGGUUCAAUUCCCGGCUGAGCCC